Long non-coding RNA from Neofelis nebulosa (Clouded leopard), 499 nucleotides. RefSeq lists it as uncharacterized. The transcript is spliced from 2 exons. NCBI's taxonomy places the organism in Eukaryota, Metazoa, Chordata, Mammalia, Carnivora, Felidae. The record is from RefSeq and is a predicted model, not a curated record.
UCUGUUAUCUACCACUUACUUAUGUAACCUAACCGUCCUGUGCCUCUGUGUUCUCCAUUGUAAUGUGGAAAUCGUACAAUACCUACCCUGUGACAGGCUUGUGAAAAUAAAUAAGGAAACAGGUUUGGGACCAGAGCCCAUUAGAUAGGCUGUAAAAUAGAAGAGGCUCCCACCACCAGAUGUCACGUCUCUUCCUCGUCCUUCCUCUGCCCGACUGCAUCCGAACGGGUACAGAUUCCUCUCCCUCUUUGGAACAGAACUUAUUUGAAGACUAUAAACUCCUGAUCCACCUGUCCACCUGAUCACCUGAGACCAGGCACAGAGCCAAGCACAGAGCCUAGAACAGAGCACAGAGCCUAGAACAAAGGAGUCCUCAACAAAUACUUGCUGAGUGAAUGUCUGAACGUAUUACUCACUGUCAGAAGGCAAAGCACCUCCUUACAAGGUAAUGUCGAAGCUACUAAAAAUUAAAAACUGGAAGCAAAUCAAUUACCCAUGA